GACGAACGCUGGCGGCGCGCCUAAUACAUGCAAGUGGGACGCAAGGGAACACACUGUGCUUGCACACCGUGUUUUCUUGAGUCGCGAACGGGUGAGUAACGCGUAGGUAACCUGCCUAUUAGCGGGGGAUAACUAUUGGAAACGAUAGCUAAUACCGCAUAAUAUUAAUUAUUGCAUGAUAAUUGAUUGAAAGAUGCAAGCGCAUCACUAGUAGAUGGACCUGCGUUGUAUUAGCUAGUUGGUAAGGUAAGAGCUUACCAAGGCGACGAUACAUAGCCGACCUGAGAGGGUGAUCGGCCACACUGGGACUGAGACACGGCCCAGACUCCUACGGGAGGCAGCAGUAGGGAAUCUUCGGCAAUGGACGAAAGUCUGACCGAGCAACGCCGCGUGAGUGAAGAAGGUUUUCGGAUCGUAAAGCUCUGUUGUAAGUCAAGAACGUGUGUGAGAGUGGAAAGUUCACACAGGACGUAGCUACCAGAAAGGC
Molecule: ribosomal RNA, 487 nt
Filed under: Streptococcus mutans
Lineage: Bacteria; Bacillati; Bacillota; Bacilli; Lactobacillales; Streptococcaceae
Description: bacterial SSU rRNA
Rfam family: Bacterial small subunit ribosomal RNA
Source: RNAcentral